AUCAGAACACUUCUGCGCAUGCGAAGAAGAGCGCGUGUGUGAGCGUUGCGAACUGGUAGUAAAGAAUAUGUCCAAAAUCCAGGAUCCAUGAUUCCUGAGGGAAUGAAAUUUUGAAAAAGCUGUGGCUGUUUUGGUGCUACUGGCUGCUGCUAAGCUGCUGCUGCUAUUGCUGUGGUCACAUCAGUAGUGGUUUGCCCCCAGUUUGCACCAGUUCUAUAGAACCAGUAGUAAAAUUGGUGGGAGACUUCGCCCACCAACCCUGACAUCAUCAAAAUGCUUCUGCGCAUGCACAGAAGAGUGCGUGCAGCCCCACUGCGAACCGGUAGUAAAGCAACCACUCACCUGCCUGCUGGGAAGGGAAAGGAAGGAUGGAAGGAAGAUUUCUGUUAUUCCCUGCCAGCUUCCUGCAAGGAAAUGAGGAAGCCAACAGGAAGUUGGAAUUUGCUCUCACUCUCUCUGUUUCUCAGUUUAGAGCACUUCCUGGUGGAAUGGGAGAUAGGGAUCGAAGAGAAGAUCUACUCCACUUUCCAUUUCCUGCCUGACAGACAGGGGUCUUUUGCUUAUUCACCAUCCAUUAAUUUAGUUUGACCUAGAAAUCAUUUUGCUUAACAGCACAAUAAAGAACAGGAAGUGUAUGGAA
This is a long non-coding RNA of Pantherophis guttatus, 640 nucleotides long. RefSeq lists it as uncharacterized. NCBI's taxonomy places the organism in Eukaryota, Metazoa, Chordata, Lepidosauria, Squamata, Colubridae. The record is from RefSeq and is a predicted model, not a curated record.